UUUUUUUUUUUUUUUAAUUUUACUGAGACAUAAUUGACAUAUAACAUUAUAUGGGCUUCAGGUAUGCAACGUCAUGAUUCAGUAUUUGUACAUAGUGUGAAAUCAUCACCACAAGUCUAAUGAACAUCUGUCCCCACACAUGGUUACAAUUUUUUUUCCUCGUGAAGAGAGCCUUUAGGAUCUACUCAGUACUUUUCAAAUACACAGUACGGUGCUCUUAACUACAAUCACCACCUAUAUGCCGUACGGUACACCCCCAGGGCUUGUAACUGGGCAUUUGUGCCUUGAGACCCAAUUCACCCCUACACAGUAAAUGUACUGUCACAAGAAAGCAAUUGCUUGCUUUGGAGAAUCUAAGAAGGCGUCUGCCUGGCCGUGUUGAGCAGAGCUGCCUAACACCUGUGGUUUACACAGAGGCUCGUGGGAGUCCCAGCUGGCGUCCAUCGAGCCUAAGCCUCAAGCAUGGGGCGAGCAGGGAGGUCGCUCAGAGCCUGGAUCACACAGGGCACUUGGCUCCUGCCCAGCCAAGCCACCCUCCGCUGGAACCAUUUCUCUUCUCCAGGACUGAAUCCCAAUGACUUGGUUUAUCCAGGAAUCAUGCUCAUCAUUUAUAGUUGGGUCUUUUUUGGAAGGGCAAAAAGAACAGAGAUUUGGAGACUGCAAAUGCAGGCUCGAGCCCUGGCUUUCCCUCUCUGCUGGCUCUGUUGAUCCACCUUUCUGAGCCUGAGCCUUGUCCCGCGGGCACUGCUGGCCCUUCCCUGGGCAGAGCUGACCUGUCGUAGGAUCCUGGUCCGGGUCCCACCACCACCUCCCAUGCAAGAUUAGGGCUGCAAAGUUGCAGCCUGGUUUUGUCUGCAGUGCUGGUCUGUCUGGGAUCCGCUGUUAGUAACUGUCUCCUGGUCCUAGAGGGCAGCAGUGACACACCUAUUCUAAAUGGCCAACAGUCCGGGAAGAGUGGCUGCAGAGAAACAGAAGGCAGCCAAGCCCAUUCAGCUGAUUGCUGAGCCGUGGGUCAUGGAAUUACCAGGAAUGACAAGAUGGCCUACAGAGACUGAGGGACCAAGCCCAGAUGAAGAGGAAUGGAGAGGAGGAGGACUCGGUCCUAACCCAGUCAUGGAAGGCAUGGAGCCCUUGGCCCGGUCACGUGGCAGGGAAGUCUUGUGCAAGCCACCCUGGGUGUAACGUAUGCAUCUGCCGAGGAAGGACUUGUCCACGACCACUCCAACCUUGGUCCUGCCUUUGAGCCGAGAUCUCACAGUCCUGUUCAGCUAUAACAUGCCAUCCCUUUGCUCAGCGGUUCAGACUUGUCUGCUUUAUAACGUGCUCCUUGAAUACCUCUGACAUCUUUUUCCACGUGUCUUCCCACCAGCUGGAGAGCCUUCACUUCUCUGAUGCUGACCACAACAUCGUGAGGUCCAUUCUAUGAUUCUCUCCAUUUUCCAGCUAAGGAGCCGGAGACCUAAGUCACUUGUCUGCAUUCACACAGCUUUCCUGAGGGAUGCAGCCUGGGCUCUGUGACCCCAGCAUCUUCAACUGCAGUGGAAACUGAGGCUCGAGAGAAGGGUUCCAAGCUCCCUGUGGAUUUCAGGGCCAUCCGCUGUAGGAUUCUAAUUCAGUGCUGUGAUUGGAUGAGCUCGUCAAGGGAGAUAAAGUGCAGAGCAAAGAGCUGAGGACCAAGAAUGGAAAUGAAAGACUAAGAUGAGCAGCAAAGGGAAGAAGAGAAGACAAAGGUGGAGGCAAGCUGGAGCAGCAGAGAAGGGGGGAAGGUGGAGUAAAGCGUCUUAGAAGAAGGUGGAAACAUGUUCUAGUAGAGGGUGAUGCUCCUAUCAGGUGCUGUACAGAAAUGUCAAAAAGGAAACGUAUCUUAAGGCCAGGGGAUUGUUUAAUAUUUGUUGACUGGUUUGGUCAGCAUUUGCCUAAGUCUCCCAAGCACCUGCAGGUGGAAGGUUGUCGAGGAAGCAAAUGGGCAACACCAGCAGCCUUCCUAGAAUUGUACCAGGUCCAGCACAGAAAGGUCAAGGGAAAUUUGCACUGUAGUUCCAUGCAUCAAAGAUGCAUACCUGGCACAUGCCAAGUAUCAAGGUUGCUUGAAACCCACAGGGUACACUCCUACAAAGCUAUGAAACCUCAGAAUCACUCUGAGUUAACAAACUGACACUUAGUCACUUAGUUUAACACAUAAUCAGAGAUGGUCUUGACUCUCAUGUACUGGGCCCCCACUACCAUGUGCCAAAGAUCCAGAUCUUGUUUCAAGCUCUCCUCUCAGGUUCUGGCACCAGAUAACACGGAAUAUGGCCAUUUCCAGAAUUAGCUGGCACCCUUGUUCAUCUAGGAUUAUUGAUUGUAAUAUUUUACGUGCAAUGACAGAAUUUACAAACCAAGAUCAUUUUCUUCAACUUUGCCAGUUGCUGAUGAAUCUUUCAGCGUUUCUGAAACCCAGGGACUUUAAGAUGAUCUCGGCUAACACUGGCCUCUUUGGAAGAGGAGACGUUUCUUUCCUUUUCCUUGGUUAAAUAAUAAAUGAACUGGCAUCCAAGUUGCUAAAA
Sus scrofa (pig) is the source of this 2546-nucleotide non-coding RNA. The record is from RefSeq and is a predicted model, not a curated record. NCBI's taxonomy places the organism in Eukaryota, Metazoa, Chordata, Mammalia, Artiodactyla, Suidae.